This 520-nucleotide ribosomal RNA is filed under the name uncultured bacterium. Its description in RNAcentral is "bacterial SSU rRNA". It matches the Rfam family "Bacterial small subunit ribosomal RNA", at positions 25 to 518 of the family's 1533-position model. The record is from RNAcentral.
CAGGACGAACGCUGGCGGCGUGCCUAAUACAUGCAAGUCGAACGGUCUUUCUAUGGAAGCUUGCUUCCACUGAGAAGAUAGUGGCGAACGGGUGAGUAACACGUGGGUAACCUGCCCAUAAGAGGGGGAUAACAUCCGGAAACGGGUGCUAAUACCGCAUAGUUUUCUUGAUCGCAUGAUCGGGAAAGGAAAGACGGCCUUUGUGCUGUCGCUUAUGGAUGGACCCGCGGCGUAUUAGUUAGUUGGUGAGGUAACGGCUCACCAAGACGAUGAUACGUAGCCGACCUGAGAGGGUGAUCGGCCACAUUGGGACUGAGACACGGCCCAAACUCCUACGGGAGGCAGCAGUAGGGAAUCUUCCGCAAUGGACGAAAGUCUGACGGAGCAACGCCGCGUGAGUGAAAGAAGGUUUUCGGAUCGUAAAACUCUGUUGUCAGAGAAGAACAAGUUGGAGAGUAACUGCUCCAGCCUUGACGGUAUCUGACCAGAAAGCCACGGCUAACUACGUGCCAGCCGCCGC